RNAcentral lists this microRNA (23 nucleotides) under Caenorhabditis briggsae. Its description in RNAcentral is "Cbr-Mir-252-P1_3p* (star (passenger))". The record is from RNAcentral. Lineage: Eukaryota; Metazoa; Nematoda; Chromadorea; Rhabditida; Rhabditidae.
UAAGAGUUGUUCGCUACUUAACG